GAUGAACGCUGGCGGCGUGCCUAAUACAUGCAAGUCGAACGAGUUCUCGUUGAUGAUCGGUGCUUGCACCGAGAUUCAAUAUGGAACGAGUGGCGGACGGGUGAGUAACACGUGGGUAACCUGCCCUUAAGUGGGGGAUAACAUUUGGAAACAGAUGCUAAUACCGCAUAGAUCCAAGAACCGCAUGGUUCUUGGCUGAAAGAUGGCGUAAGCUAUCGCUUUUGGAUGGACCCGCGGCGUAUUAGCUAGUUGGUGAGGUAAUGGCUCACCAAGGCGAUGAUACGUAGCCGAACUGAGAGGUUGAUCGGCCACAUUGGGACUGAGACACGGCCCAAACUCCUACGGGAGGCAGCAGUAGGGAAUCUUCCACAAUGGACGCAAGUCUGAUGGAGCAACGCCGCGUGAGUGAAGAAGGCUUUCGGGUCGUAAAACUCUGUUGUUGGAGAAGAAUGGUCGGCAGAGUAACUGUUGUCGGCGUGACGGUAUCCAGCCAGAAAGCCACGGCUAACUACGUGCCAGCAGCCGCGGUAAUACGUAGGUGGCAAGCGUUAUCCGGAUUUAUUGGGCGUAAAGCGAGCGCAGGCGGUUUUUUAAGUCUGAUGUGAAAGCCCUCGGCUUAACCGAGGAAGCGCAUCGGAAACUGGGAAACUUGAGUGCAGAAGAGGACAGUGGAACUC
This 677-nucleotide ribosomal RNA is filed under the name uncultured Lactobacillus sp. RNAcentral's name for it is "bacterial SSU rRNA". It matches the Rfam family "Bacterial small subunit ribosomal RNA", at positions 28 to 669 of the family's 1533-position model. The record is from RNAcentral. Lineage: Bacteria; Bacillati; Bacillota; Bacilli; Lactobacillales; Lactobacillaceae.